AAUAAUUCAUAAGCUUAUUGGCAAAUCAUGUCAACCAUAAUAUGUCACGUGCAGUGGCUUUAAACCUGAUAAAACACUCCUAAUUAGUAUUCUUUAUAUAAAGAAUACUAAUAAGGCAGUAUCUAUUGUAGUCGUGUCUUCAUUAGUAUUUUUUAUAUAAAGAAUACUAAUAAGGCAGUAUAUCUAUUGAAUUUGCAGUCGUGUUUGAAGCCGUUUA
Non-coding RNA from Paramuricea clavata, 217 nucleotides. Lineage: Eukaryota; Metazoa; Cnidaria; Anthozoa; Malacalcyonacea; Plexauridae. The record is from the annotation of a GenBank genome assembly.